This is a long non-coding RNA of Phascolarctos cinereus (koala), 1060 nucleotides long. RefSeq lists it as uncharacterized. NCBI's taxonomy places the organism in Eukaryota, Metazoa, Chordata, Mammalia, Diprotodontia, Phascolarctidae. The record is from RefSeq and is a predicted model, not a curated record.
CUCGCUGUCCGCCGGCGGCGGCGGCGGCGGCAGCGACUGUAAAUAGAGCCUGCCUGCAUGUUGUUUACAUGAAGGAUCCGGCGGGAGGAGUCUUCGAGGAGGGGCCGAGGAGGAGGAGGAGGAGAAGGAGGAGGAGGAGGAGCGGGGGGCAAGGAGAAGGAAGACAGGAGUGAGUCCCCCGCGGCCACCAGCACUGCCACCGCUGCCGUCGCCACCGCGUACCUGGGCUCCGCGCCAGACUGACGAGACGAGAUCUCGCCCCGCACGGACGGACGGACGGACGGACGGAGCGGAGCGGACAGGGCUGGGCCCCAGGAAGCACUUGCAAUUCUGACAGUUGACAUUUUACCUGCCAGAAGCUCUAUAUGUGUGACCUUCCCCCCUCACGAACAAAGCACCUGCCUGGGGAGUCUGGGAGCUCGUGUGUAUCUGCAUAUUUGGGGCUGUCCAGUGCAACCUCUGGGAUUGGGGGUCUAAGUUUCCUGGUUUCCCAGUUUGAGAUCAGGGAGAUGCUGCUGAAGAAAGCAGUGCGUUGCAGAGGUGGAACAAUGAAUGAAACAGCCGGAGCGCCUCGUGCUUCGCUGCUGUAUUAUCAGCGGCAGAAUCUGCGCUGGCUCACCUCAUCAAUGAGAGACUGAAGCAAGAUGGACUUGGAGAUCAUGGUCUUUCACACUGGGAGCAGCAGAGGACAGCCGAGGACAGCAUACAGCCUGGAAGUACCAGUAUAGAACAAGAAAGCUCAUGCAGUCUGUGCCACCAAUUUCCUUAAUGUUCCCCCAGGCAAGUCAUGAAGUCUCCCUGGGCUCAAUUUUUCUCACUUUGAAAAUGAGUAGACUUUAUGCGCCACUCUUGUUUUUCAAGCUGAGAUGCUGUAGUUUUCUGAACAUCUGCUCUGCAUUGCUCUACUCUGGUGUUCUCUACAGGGUAAAUCACAGGCGGUGUUUUUUAUGAGGGGGAAGAGGAGAGAAAAAUUGGGAAUCAUAGGAACAUAGAUUAAGAACCUUAGGACCUUAGAAAUCUGCCUUCAUUUUAUAGUGAGGAAACAGAAAGAUUCAGAGAG